ACUCCUACGGGAGGCAGCAGUGGGGAAUCUUGGACAAUGGGCGCAAGCCUGAUCCAGCCAUGCCGCGUGAGUGAUGAAGGCCUUAGGGUCGUAAAGCUCUUUCGCCAGAGAUGAUAAUGACAGUAUCUGGUAAAGAAACCCCGGCUAACUCCGU
Molecule: ribosomal RNA, 154 nt
Filed under: uncultured bacterium
Lineage: Bacteria
Description: partial 16S ribosomal RNA
Rfam family: Bacterial small subunit ribosomal RNA
Source: RNAcentral